Molecule: long non-coding RNA, 486 nt
Organism: Carcharodon carcharias (great white shark)
Lineage: Eukaryota; Metazoa; Chordata; Chondrichthyes; Lamniformes; Lamnidae
Exons: 3
Source: RefSeq, a predicted model, not a curated record
CCUCGCGGAGAAAGGGAGGAACAACUCUCCUAAGUUAGGGAGAGUACGAACUGCAUCCUAGCUGAAACGGGGAUUGCAGUGAAUUAGCGGCCCAGCUGAAAGGGGGACUGCGAGUAAAAGGGUAGCUACCGACCAAAGAGACUUAAGUGACCCAAAGAAUCGGAGGACUUGUUAAGGAACUCUUAAACACCGGAAUAAGGGAUCACUUUGCUCUUAAAGAGAAAACAUCCAGAACCUCUAAAUAGCCGGAUUUCUUUCACCAGUAAUCAAAGAAGAAUUCUCUGGACUAUCCUGAACCAUAUCCCCCAUGCCGCUGGUGAGACGCACAGUCUUCCUUCGCAUGUUCUGCCUUUGAAAACGUUUUGGAUCCACUUUAUUUGGCGCCUCCCCUGACCUUGUCACCAUGGGUAGCCCUACGAGGAACAAGGAGCUCCAGGCAGUAUUGCUCAAGUGAUCGUCGGAGCGCACACGCCUCUCCACAAUGUC